This 22-nucleotide microRNA is filed under the name Chrysemys picta (Painted turtle). RNAcentral's name for it is "cpi-miR-3618-3p". RNAcentral also lists the same sequence under 1 other name. Lineage: Eukaryota; Metazoa; Chordata; Testudines; Emydidae. The record is from miRBase by way of RNAcentral.
UGUCUACAUUAAUGAAAAGAAC